GACGUAGGGUGCGAGCGUUGUCCGGAUUUAUUGGGCGUAAAGAGCGUGUAGGCGGUUAGGUAGGUCCGUUGUGAAAACUCGAGGCUCAACCUCGAGACGCCGAUGGAAACCAUCUGACUAGAGUCCGGAAGAGGAGAGUGGAAUUCCUGGUGUAGCGGUGAAAUGCGCAGAUAUCAGGAGGAACACCGGUGGCGAAGGCGGGUCUCUGGGCCGAUACUGACGCUGAGGAGCGAAAGCGUGGGGAGCGAACAGG
This 253-nucleotide ribosomal RNA is filed under the name uncultured bacterium. RNAcentral's name for it is "partial 16S ribosomal RNA". It matches the Rfam family "Bacterial small subunit ribosomal RNA", at positions 524 to 776 of the family's 1533-position model. The record is from RNAcentral.